Medicago truncatula (barrel medic) is the source of this 575-nucleotide long non-coding RNA. RefSeq lists it as uncharacterized. The transcript is spliced from 2 exons. NCBI's taxonomy places the organism in Eukaryota, Viridiplantae, Streptophyta, Magnoliopsida, Fabales, Fabaceae. The record is from RefSeq and is a predicted model, not a curated record.
GUAAAAAAAAUUGGGGUCAGAACUCAGUUAAAAUGACAUAGAAAAGCAAUUAACAGUUUCAUUGUCGUCCCAUGUUCUUCGAUCUUCACCGUUCAAACCAUUCCAUUGAAGAAGAAAGCGAAGGAACAUCUCUACACUCCAGUUCAGUAAGGGUUUGAUCAAUCAAGAAAUGGCAGCAUGGAGUUCAGAUGGUCCUGAAGGACCUUUUGUGCAAAAUGUAUCAGUUGGUACAGACAUUUGUCGAAGAAGCCUUGAAGUUGAUUUCAUCAAGAUGAAUAAUCAAUUGAAGGAACUCAAAGCAAAACUUCGCCGGUUGAAAUUUCUAAACUUAUUGUUGAUGAUUGGAAUUUUGUUGAGUUUGAUUCCAUUGUUGUUUUACAAAUUUAAGUAAAUUAGGGGGUGUGGUAAAUGUAGUAGGGUUUCUGCUCCUAAUCAAGUGGUUACUGUCACUAUUUUGUAAUCAAACGUUUGUUAGUAAUCACAGUCUUGAUUAUUUUGAUUCUAGCUGCUUAAUUUCAAAUCUUCUUCAAUGAAAUGUUAUUAGUCUUAGACCGGAGACUUAAUAUGGUCUGUCA